UACGAAGGGGGCUAGCGUUGCUCGGAAUCACUGGGCGUAAAGGGUGCGUAGGCGGGGCUUUAAGUCAGGGGUGAAAUCCUGGAGCUCAACUCCAGAACUGCCUUUGAUACUGAAGAUCUUGAGUUCGGGAGAGGUGAGUGGAACUGCGAGUGUAGAGGUGAAAUUCGUAGAUAUUCGCAAGAACACCAGUGGCGAAGGUGGCUCACUGGCCCGAUACUGACGCUGAUGCACGAAAGCGUGGGGAGCAAACAGG
RNAcentral lists this ribosomal RNA (253 nucleotides) under uncultured bacterium. RNAcentral's name for it is "partial 16S ribosomal RNA". It matches the Rfam family "Bacterial small subunit ribosomal RNA", at positions 524 to 776 of the family's 1533-position model. The record is from RNAcentral.